This 73-nucleotide transfer RNA is filed under the name Chloroflexota bacterium. RNAcentral describes it as "tRNA-Met". It matches the Rfam family "tRNA". Rfam says of the family: Transfer RNA (tRNA) molecules are approximately 80 nucleotides in length. The record is from RNAcentral. Lineage: Bacteria; Bacillati; Chloroflexota. RNAcentral also lists the same sequence under 1 other name.
GGCUGGGUAGCUCAGUUGGCAGAGCAAGGGACUCAUAAACCCUAGGUCGCCGGUUCAAUCCCGGCCCCAGCCA